UACGAAGGGGGCUAGCGUUGCUCGGAAUCACUGGGCGUAAAGCGCACGUAGGCGGCUUUCUAAGUCAGGGGUGAAAUCCUGGAGCUCAACUCCAGAACUGCCUUUGAUACUGGAGAGCUUGAGUUCGGGAGAGGUGAGUGGAACUGCGAGUGUAGAGGUGAAAUUCGUAGAUAUUCGCAAGAACACCAGUGGCGAAGGCGGCUCACUGGCCCGAUACUGACGCUGAGGUGCGAAAGCGUGGGGAGCAAACAGG
This 253-nucleotide ribosomal RNA is filed under the name uncultured bacterium. RNAcentral's name for it is "partial 16S ribosomal RNA". It matches the Rfam family "Bacterial small subunit ribosomal RNA", at positions 524 to 776 of the family's 1533-position model. RNAcentral also lists the same sequence under 1 other name. The record is from RNAcentral.